AACGAACGCUGGCGGCAUGCCUAACACAUGCAAGUCGAACGAGACCUUCGGGUCUAGUGUCGCACGGGUGCGUAACGCGUGGGAACCUUCCCUUAGGUUCGGAAUAACUCCCCGAAAGGGGUGCUAAUACCGGAUAAUGUCUUCGGACCAAAGAUUUAUCGCCUUUGGAUGGGCCCGCGUUGGAUUAGCUAGUUGGUAGGGUAAAAGCCUACCAAGGCGACGAUCCAUAGCUGGUCUGAGAGGAUGAUCAGCCACACUGGGACUGAGACACGGCCCAGACUCCUACGGGAGGCAGCAGUGGGGAAUAUUGGACAAUGGGCGAAAGCCUGAUCCAGCAAUGCCGCGUGAGUGAUGAAGGCCUUAGGGUUGUAAAGCUCUUUUACCCGGGAUGAUAAUGACAGUACCGGGAGAAUAAGCUCCGGCUAACUCCGUG
Molecule: ribosomal RNA, 433 nt
Filed under: uncultured bacterium
Lineage: Bacteria
Description: partial 16S ribosomal RNA
Rfam family: Bacterial small subunit ribosomal RNA
Source: RNAcentral